AAGCCAGGAGAGUCUUGCUCUUCCUUUUGCUGAACCGGGAGAGCAAGACUCUCCUGGGUU
RNAcentral lists this microRNA precursor (60 nucleotides) under Podarcis lilfordi (Lilford's wall lizard). The record is from RNAcentral. Lineage: Eukaryota; Metazoa; Chordata; Lepidosauria; Squamata; Lacertidae.